RNAcentral lists this ribosomal RNA (463 nucleotides) under Nocardia sp. 13-592. RNAcentral describes it as "bacterial SSU rRNA". It matches the Rfam family "Bacterial small subunit ribosomal RNA", at positions 38 to 518 of the family's 1533-position model. The record is from RNAcentral. Lineage: Bacteria; Bacillati; Actinomycetota; Actinomycetes; Mycobacteriales; Nocardiaceae.
GGCGGCGUGCUUAACACAUGCAAGUCGAGCGGUAAGGCCCUUCGGGGUACACGAGCGGCGAACGGGUGAGUAACACGUGGGUGAUCUGCCCUGUACUUCGGGAUAAGCCUGGGAAACUGGGUCUAAUACCGGAUAUGACCUUACAUCGCAUGGUGUUUGGUGGAAAGAUUUAUCGGUACAGGAUGGGCCCGCGGCCUAUCAGCUUGUUGGUGGGGUAAUGGCCUACCAAGGCGACGACGGGUAGCCGGCCUGAGAGGGCGACCGGCCACACUGGGACUGAGACACGGCCCAGACUCCUACGGGAGGCAGCAGUGGGGAAUAUUGCACAAUGGGCGAAAGCCUGAUGCAGCGACGCCGCGUGAGGGAUGACGGCCUUCGGGUUGUAAACCUCUUUCGACAGGGACGAAGCGCAAGUGACGGUACCUGUAGAAGAAGCACCGGCCAACUACGUGCCAGCAGCCGC